This 753-nucleotide ribosomal RNA is filed under the name Escherichia coli. RNAcentral's name for it is "bacterial SSU rRNA". It matches the Rfam family "Bacterial small subunit ribosomal RNA", at positions 45 to 787 of the family's 1533-position model. The record is from RNAcentral. Lineage: Bacteria; Pseudomonadati; Pseudomonadota; Gammaproteobacteria; Enterobacterales; Enterobacteriaceae.
GGCCUAACACAUGCAAGUCGAACGGUAACAGGAAGCAGCUUGCUGCUUUGCUGACGAGUGGCGGACGGGUGAGUAAUGUCUGGGAAACUGCCUGAUGGAGGGGGAUAACUACUGGAAACGGUAGCUAAUACCGCAUAACGUCGCAAGACCAAAGAGGGGGACCUUCGGGCCUCUUGCCAUCGGAUGUGCCCAGAUGGGAUUAGCUAGUAGGUGGGGUAACGGCUCACCUAGGCGACGAUCCCUAGCUGGUCUGAGAGGAUGACCAGCCACACUGGAACUGAGACACGGUCCAGACUCCUACGGGAGGCAGCAGUGGGGAAUAUUGCACAAUGGGCGCAAGCCUGAUGCAGCCAUGCCGCGUGUAUGAAGAAGGCCUUCGGGUUGUAAAGUACUUUCAGCGGGGAGGAAGGGAGUAAAGUUAAUACCUUUGCUCAUUGACGUUACCCGCAGAAGAAGCACCGGCUAACUCCGUGCCAGCAGCCGCGGUAAUACGGAGGGUGCAAGCGUUAAUCGGAAUUACUGGGCGUAAAGCGCACGCAGGCGGUUUGUUAAGUCAGAUGUGAAAUCCCCGGGCUCAACCUGGGAACUGCAUCUGAUACUGGCAAGCUUGAGUCUCGUAGAGGGGGGUAGAAUUCCAGGUGUAGCGGUGAAAUGCGUAGAGAUCUGGAGGAAUACCGGUGGCGAAGGCGGCCCCCUGGACGAAGACUGACGCUCAGGUGCGAAAGCGUGGGGAGCAAACAGGAUUAGAUACCC